UACUUCUGGGCCACUGAGUGGACAGCCACUGU
RNAcentral lists this non-coding RNA (32 nucleotides) under Rattus norvegicus (Norway rat). The record is from RNAcentral. Lineage: Eukaryota; Metazoa; Chordata; Mammalia; Rodentia; Muridae.